This 254-nucleotide ribosomal RNA is filed under the name uncultured bacterium. RNAcentral describes it as "partial 16S ribosomal RNA". It matches the Rfam family "Bacterial small subunit ribosomal RNA", at positions 524 to 776 of the family's 1533-position model. The record is from RNAcentral.
UACGUAGGGGGCAAGCGUUGUCCGGAUUUAUUGGGCGUAAAGAGCUCGUAGGCGGUUGGGCAAGUCACGUGUGAAAUCUCCACGCUCAACGUGGAGGCGCCACGUGAGACUGCCCUGACUCGAGUCCGGUAGGGGAGCGUGGAAUUCCCGGUGUAGCGGUGAAAUGCGCAGAGAUCGGGAGGAACACCCGUAGCGAAGGCGGCGCUCUGGGCCGGUACUGACGCUGAGACGCGAAAGCGUGGGGAGCAAACAGG